CUCGGCAAAAAUCUAGGCUGCCACCACUGCCUAUGUUACUGGUGAAAUUGUAAUAUUCUGUACCGGGACACCCUGUAUAAACCGCAACCGAAAUAAUAAUUUGAAGAUACUUAUUCAAUCUUCCAUAAUUCGGCGUACCUAUAGAAUUUGAUAAAAAGUGAACACAAUAAUAAUAUGGAGAAACAGGUGAGCAUAAGAACUAUUAAAUUUCAACGAUCCACGAUCCUAAUCAAUUUUUAUAUUUUCUUUUAUUGCAUUUUACACAGUCAAUUACCCACAUACCUGUCUAUGUUGGUUUUUUUUUUUUUAGUAUUUUUCUGGGUGAUUAAAAUUUAAUGCAAGGUAUGUAUAUAAACCUCCAGCGAACUAGCAAAUUUUGAGAUACUUGAGUUCACAUUCUACGUAUCACAAUUCUGUGUAUAGCAUUAGAUAAAAAGUUGAAACAAUAAUAGGUACCAUGGAGAAACUUACAAUUUUCGUGAUCGGUUUAUUGAUUAUCUGUAUUACAGUAGUUCCAGAAAUCGAAUCUCGACGAAAAGAUACUCUAAUGGAUUUUGGAAUGGAAUCGGUGGAAUAUUCUGAUACGUGUUGUAGUAUGAAUGGAAAAACAUUUUCUGAUAAAGAAACUUGCAAGAAGAAGUGUAAAAAAGGGUGUCAAUCCAAAGGAUGUGGCGGAAUGAAACGCUGUUCGAUGGUAAAGGACAUACAUAAGCACAUUUAUGGUUGUUUUUGCCAAAUGGAAUGAUCAACAGGUACCUAUGUGCAUAAGGUCAAAAGAUCAAGUAUUUUGACCUGUUGAUCUAGGUUUUAUUGUCCUAUUAUAAUAUUAAUAUCACAAUAAAUCCAUCCUAAACUCAA
Molecule: long non-coding RNA, 858 nt
Organism: Planococcus citri (citrus mealybug)
Lineage: Eukaryota; Metazoa; Arthropoda; Insecta; Hemiptera; Pseudococcidae
Exons: 2
Source: RefSeq, a predicted model, not a curated record